Long non-coding RNA from Zonotrichia albicollis (white-throated sparrow), 1787 nucleotides. The record is from Ensembl. NCBI's taxonomy places the organism in Eukaryota, Metazoa, Chordata, Aves, Passeriformes, Passerellidae.
GCCUCAGCCAAACCAACCCAAGCUGGGCUCACAGGAGAUCCAGCAAUGUUGGAAUUGCUUUUACUCACCUCAUUUUCUUCUUCUCUAUUGCAAUCCAGCCGGGGGAAACAUGGAAAAAAAAACAAAAAAUCAGGAAAAGAGAGUGUGAACAGCAGGUAGGAACAAGAAAUGGAAUAUUGGACAUCUGGAUUUGGGAUGGGAAGGACUUGGGACAUAGAGUGAGGGAAACAUCGAUGGCGCCCGGACACAAACCCAGCUGGGAGGCUCCAAAAUUCCCUGGAAAAUCUCCCAUGGAUCAGGACAGAGCAAACCUUCUUGGAGAGAACUGCUGGCCUGGUGCUGUCUGCAGUUAUUCCAACACAGGAAUAAAAGCCUCAAAAAUGUGACUGAAAAAGGAGGAUUUGGGAUUCUUUCCAUUGGAAUACUUCCUUGGAAUCCUUCCCAUCACUGAAAGUUUCUGCCUCUCAUUAAAGAUAUUAACGAAGGUCUGGCUGCUGUGCAUCUGCCCUGGCUAUUUGCAUAAUUAAUCCCUAUUUUGGCAGCUUGAAAAUGAAUUAAUUAGGAUGGUUCUCCUCCGUGCUGAGCCAACAGGAAAGUUGGGUUUUCCCAGCUUUCCACUCUUCCCAAAUUCCCUGCUCUGAUCCCACAGGGAAGUUGUUUCUCCUCAGGGAAGGAGAAGGAACAGGAACAAAUCUCCCUCUCCUUGAUUGGCUCAAUCCUUGCAGAGUGUCAGGGAAUUUCUUGGCCCUACCAACACCAUCAACAGUUCCUCUGUCAUGGAUCCACCCAAAAUCCCAAAUCCCUCUCCAACACAGCCCAGAGCUGGAAUUCUCCUACAUUUCACCAGCUUUUAUCCAGCGCUGCUGCGGUGACAAAGCCAAAGAUUCCCCACAGAAAAGUUCACAGAUUCCACCUCAAUGAGUGACAAAGCCAAAGAUUUCCCACAGAAAAGUUCACAGAUUCCACCUCAACGAGAAAUACCCAAUUCUGGAAGAAAAAAAAAAUCAAAAUUUUCACUUGGGAGCAAGGCGGUGACGGCACAAGAACCACCCAGGCCCACACUGAAACCAUCCCCAGCCAGAUGGGAGCAAAGGGAAGAGCUGGGAACAACUUUCCCCUCAGGAAUAUCCUCCAAAAAGCUCCCAUCCAACUGAUCCAGCUCGUUAAAAGACCAUAAUUAAUCCCAGAGCAGCACCAAUGGGGGUUGAUUCCAUCAAGGAAAACCCAAGGCGGGAAUUCCGAUUUAACGGGAUCAGGCAGGGCAGGAAUUCCAAACCCCAAAGGUUCACUCCCACUGGAAUUAAGGCCCAAAAGGAGUUUCCAGUUUCAGGAUCACCAAAAGAAGAAGAGUUUGGGACUUUCAGUGGUUUGGUUGGAGGUUUUGUGGGGUUUGGUGAUUGCAUUUGGUGAUUCCAGGGAGAUUUUCCAGAUAUCCCAAACGGAUGCAGCACAGAUUACGACCACCAAGUGGAAUUUGAGGUUUUAAGGCAAAAAUAACUCUCUUUAUGCAUAAAAAUCCACCUUAAAUCAGGUGUAUAUCGAGAGAGAGGUAAUUAAAUAUUGUGUUUAUUGUUAAUGACAAGGAUAAUUAAUGAUGAGGAGAAAAGAGAGUCAGGAUCCUUCAAAUCCCACAGGAAAAAAGAGAGGAAAGAGGGGAUCCCAUCCAUGGAAAUGUCCAAGGUUGGACAGGGCUUGGAGCAAACUGGGAUAGUGGAAAAUGUCCUUGGGUGGGAUGGGGUGAUCCCAUUCCAACCCAAAUAAAAAAUAAAAUAAAAAAAAAAAAAACA